CAAGACCAUUGAACUUAUGUUGCAUGCAUUUAUGAACUUUUAUAUAUUUUUAAAGUUCAUUGAAUAUAAGUAAUAUAGGUUUUUGAAAUUUCAAGUUGUCAACAAGGCUAACUGAUUGGACCAACCAAUUGUUUAAAAAAAAAUGUUUUUACAUGUCAGCACUUGGCUGAUUUUAUUAACUUGUUAGUAUUAUGCUCCCAAUUUUAUGUGUUAAAAUCUAACUGUACAAGCAACUUGAGGACUAAAAUUGUGCCUUUAUCCAGUCCUAAUUUAUUGUUCUUCCCUCAUAAAUUUUAUUUGCAGCUUCAAUGGUCUGAAAAAAGCAGUAAAUCAUAGUGAGGUGAGGUUUACAUAGUUUAGAUUGAGUUCCUUAUUUUUGCUUGAAAUUAAUCCAAUCAAUUCCUUCUGGUGUCAUCGUCAUGUGCUAAUAGUAGGUCUCAAAGCAAGAGAUCACUUGAGUCAAAAAGAUCUUCAUUCCUAAUCUACAGGAUAUCACUUAUGCAUGCUCAGGUCAUAAAUCCUUUACAUAAAAUACAGGGAAACAGAUGUAAUGUUUCUAAAAAUUAUUGAGAGUUCUGUAAAUAAAAAAAUACUUUCCUAUUUAUUUCUUGCCCCAGGUUGUUUACCUUAGAUCUUCAGGAAUAUGCUUCUAGCUUUUCUGAAGAAGCCUUCCAGAGGUUUCAAGGUCACUGUUAAAACACAGAUGUUUUAACUGUGGCUGGCAAAACACAGGGGCUCAUUAACUAUUUGUAAGACGUAAGAUGGAUCCAAACAUACCCUUCACAUUCUCAACAAUCUGGUUCAUAAUAAUAGGAAUUCCCUCUGUGGCUCAGCAGCUUAAGGAUCCAGCAUGGUCUCUGUGGCAGUGUGGGUUUGAUCCCCAGCCAGGUGCAGUGGGUUAAGGAUCCGGUGUUGCUGCAGCUAUGGUACUGGUUGCAGCUAUGGCUAGGAUUCAAUCCUUGGCCUGGGAACUUCAUAUGCCAUGGAUGCAGCAGUAAAUAAAUAAAUAAAACAUUUACUUUAGGACAAAAAUGCCUACCAAAAAAGCUAGAUUAUUUCCUUAGGAUCUUUAAAACAAAAACAAAAAUCUGAUCAAGUGAAGAAAAAAGACAUUCAUUAAAAUCACAGUCACCCUUUUCAUUUCUAUACCCACACAGAGAUACAUACACCACACUUACCAGAGGCUCUACUUUUAAAAAAACUAGUAUACACUGAAAUGUAGAAAGCAGAAUACUUAACAGAUCAUUUGGUACAUUUUUAGAACUCUGAAGAGUUGAGUUUUAUUUGUCAACAGUUUUGAACUGUAAAUUGUUUGUUUUUCAAAAAAAAAAAUUUUUUUUUGUCUUUUUAGGGCUGCACCUGUGGCAAUAUGGAGGUUCCCAGGCUAGGGGUUGAAUCAGAGCUACAACUGCCCAACUACACCACAAUCACAGCAAGCAACUCCAGAUCCAAGCCACAUCUAAAAUCCAGCUCACGGCAACUCGGGAUCCUUAACCUGCUGAGUGGGGCCAGGAAUCGAACCCACAACCUCAUGGUUCCUAGUCAGAUUCGUUUCCACUGCGCCAUGACGGGAACGCCUCAGAAUUCAUUUUUAAAAAUGACCUUUAGCUUUUUGAACUCUUGUCUGAAUAUCUAGAAUCAUCCCAAAACUAGCAGAUGUCUUCAAGAAAAAAAGAAAUGCUUGUGUAAAGUUGACUGUUUUAAACUUUAUUUCAAAUGAUCUGCUUUCAGUAUCUUGAAGAAAAACUUUCUAGAUUACUUUCUUUCUCUAAAUUUGUGUUUAACAGGAUCUAGAAUUCUUUGGCUAGCUUAGAAUCAUAAAAGCACUGGUUUUUACCCUGCUUGGACAUUUGCUCAUUUGAGUUUGGGUUCAUUCAUAUUUAGUUAUAUCCACUAAAAUUGCCCAUUCUUCUUUUGCCAUUGGGCAUUUUUUCAACCUUAACAAAACGAAGUCCAUAUUAUAGGCCUGCUGGCCAACAUUCCAGGUAAAUGAAUGGUUUUAAAGAAAAAUGGUGCUAUUUUUCAAAAGCCUGACAUUUUAAAAAUACAAGUCCAGAAUUGAAGCCUUCAAUAAUUUUUCCAUGCCUAUAUGCUGCAAGAAGCAAAUGGUUACACAAAUGAAUACAUCUGGGAUUAUUUUCAAGCUGUUAUUCCCCACCAGGGAAAAUAUUUAGAAAUAAGGCUCAGUCUUUGUGCUGGAACUACAAAGAGGCCAGCCAUCUUGAUGCUUUUCCAGAUCGUUUAAUGAUUUUCCUCAUAUUGUGUGGUGGCUUUACUGCCCUGUUUCGUAUGCCUUCCCGUUCAUCGUUGGUAACCAUUUAUGUUGGGUAUGUUCCAAUUUCCAAAUCUGUUUUGUGGCAUUUAUAGCUUGCAGCUAAUAAGGCCAUUCAGUAUUUUUUUAUACAUAUAAAAUAUUAAAAAAUAUACCAAGCUAGAAGAAUUGAUUUAAAAUUUAAAAGAGGCUUACUGAAGUAUGGAAUAACUUUACCUUUAAACUGUUAAGUAAGCGUGACUGAGGUUGAGAGGUGCCAUUCUGCUUCUAGAGUCCAGGAGAUGUGGUAUUAGAUGGGUGUGUUUUAUAUGCAUUUGUAGGUAUUAUAUGUAUACAUACAUAUAUAAUGCAAUAAGCAUGUAUGUAUUAUAUACAACACACACAUGUAUGAGUGCAAAAGGAGUGGUAAUUUUCAUAUAUGUUUCUUUGUACCUUUUUACUUUGUAAGACAGAGCCAUCAACAAAUAAACACAUGUAUAUGCUGGUCAUAUUUUCUUUCUUUCUUUUUUUUUUUUUCUGUCUUUUUAGGGCUGCACCUGCAGCAUAUGGGGGUUCCCAGGCUAAGUGUAGUCACUGGACUAUACCAGGGCUGCAGUAAAGUGGAUCUGAGCCAUGUCUGUGACAUAUACCACAGCUCAUGGCAAUGCCGGAUACUUACCCACUGAGCGAGGCCAGGGAUUGAACCUGUGUCCUCAUAGAUGCUAGUCGGGUUCGUUAACCACUGAGCCAAAGUGGGAACUCCUAUCCUGGUCAUAUUUUCAUUAGCAAGUUGGAUUAUAGAGUUUUUGAAUUUUUAGAGUAUUGCCUUCCUAUGACUUUAUAUCAAAUGACAAUUAUUUGGGAUUCAUAAGAUACAUAAGUAUUAUAUGUCUAAGAAACUAAAAUUUCCAGAAUUAACUCCAAAUUAAACCAUAAAAAAUAAAUAUAAUCAUUAAGGUAGUCUUUUUCUUAACAUACAUCCAAGGAGAUUAUGUUAAUCAUGCUUUUACUGUCCUUUUUCAAUUCAAUGUAAAUGUAAAUAUUUAACAUGUAUUGCCUAACUUCAAAUAUAUUAAAAUCCAUAAUUUACUCUGAUUUCUUAUAUUUAAAAUUUACAUUACUAAACUAAAAUUUUUCAUUUUUUUAAUUUACAAAUUAAAAGUGAUUCGAGAUUUUAAUUAUGAUCAAAGUCUAGAAUAAGAUAAAAAUCCUCUGAAAACACAGAUCAUUACCUUUUAAUAUCAUUGUGAAUUUUAAUUUCAAUGUCAUAAAAUCUUAUGCAGAUAAGGUUUUUUAGAGAAUAUAGGCUCUAAUGGUUUAAGAGUGUACAAGUCAUACAGAAUGUAUGAGUCAUACAGAAGGUAGGUUGGUUGAUAAUGAUGUAUGUCAUCCAUUUCCACAUUCAGAGUUCUGUGAAAGAGGACAUUCUCAAUAUAACCCCCAGGGGUAAGGCUGGGGGUUAUAUUGAGAACAAUUAGAGAUUGUCCUUUAAGUAACCUUUCAUUGAGAACAAUUUUUAUAUUAUUGAAUGAGACAAUAACAAUACCAAUUUUAGGAUAUGGGAGUUGAUGAAAAAGUGUAAUGUAAAGAUGUACAAAGAGAUUAACUUCUGUAAGAAUAAUUUGCAGGUCUUCCUAUCUUGAGCAUCACCUGAAUGAAUGGUGUGAUGGGUGUAAACAGGCAAUAUUUGAACUCUUAGAUAUUUAUUUUUUAACAAGAGUGGUAUCAAAUUGGUAGGUAUUUACAUUCAUUAGAUUAACUUUUUUUUCUUUUCACAGACGCACCUGUGGUAUAUGGAAGUUUCCCACCCAGGGGUCGAAUCAGCUGCAGCUGCAGGCCUACACCACAGCCACGGCAACAGCCAAUCUGAGCCACAUCUGUGACCUACGCUGCAGCUUGCAGCGGUGUCAGAUCCUUAACCACUGAGGGAGGCCAGGGACUGAACCUGCAGGGAAACAAUGCUGGGUCCUUAACAUGCUGCGUCACAAUAAGAUCUCCUUCUUAGAUUUUAAUUUGCUUUUUUGCAAAGAAGACAAUUUAGUUAAUUGCGCCGAGUCAAGCUUUAUGUUAAUAAUUUUUGUGGACAUCUAAAAACUUAGGUUUGUUCUGAAUUAAUAAUAACAUGUUCUUAUUUUUCUGAUUUUAAGAGUAAUCAUCAUUUGAAGCCAUUUGUCAAUAUGAGAACAGAAAUUUAGAGACUCUUACUCUUCAAACAUAACAAAGAUUGUAUGUGAAUAUGUAUAUAUAUAACAUAUACAUAUGUUAACAGAUUCAUGUAUAUUAUUCAGAUUUUUCACAUAAAAUAAACCAACAGUGUAUAUACUAAUAAUUAUUCAUUUACAGAAACUAGACAGAAUUUUAGGUCCUGUCCUGCAAUAUAUAGAGAUAUGCUCCAAUGUUUUUAAUAUUGCACUGUAUGCUCUUAAUAAAUAAAUCAUACAUUAACCAAUUUCUUACAGAUAAAAUAUUGUGGUUGUUUUCAAACUUUGGCUAUUAGAAACAAUUCUUCGUUGAGCAUUCUCAUAAACAGUUUUGCAUACUUGGGCUUAUAUAGCUAUUGUGUAAUUUUUGAAAAUAUUAUUGGCUCAAUGUGUAUGCACACUAUUCAACUUAUUGAUGUUAGCAAA
Molecule: long non-coding RNA, 4878 nt
Filed under: Sus scrofa (pig)
Lineage: Eukaryota; Metazoa; Chordata; Mammalia; Artiodactyla; Suidae
Description: lncRNA (ENSSSCG00000054060.1)
Source: RNAcentral